CGUCGGGGGUGCUAUACAUGCAGUCGAGCGGACCUUUGGAGCUUGCUCCAUUGGUUUAGCGGCGGACGGGUGAGUAACACGUGGGCAACCUGCCCUGCAGAUCGGGAUAACUCCGGGAAACCGGUGCUAAUACCGAAUAGUUUUUUGCCCCUCCUGGGGCGAAACGGAAAGACGGUUUCGGCUGUCACUGCAGGAUGGGCCCGCGGCGCAUUAGCUAGUUGGUGGGGUAAUGGCCCACCAAGGCGACGAUGCGUAGCCGACCUGAGAGGGUGAUCGGCCACACUGGGACUGAGACACGGCCCAGACUCCUACGGGAGGCAGCAGUAGGGAAUCUUCCGCAAUGGACGCAAGUCUGACGGAGCAACGCCGCGUGAGUGACGAAGGUUUUCGGAUCGUAAAACUCUGUUGUGAGGGAAGAACAAGUACCAACUAACUACUGGUACCUUGACGGUACCUCACCAGAAAGCCACGGCUAACUACGUGCCAGCAGCCGCGGUAAUACGUAGGUGGCAAGCGUUGU
This 520-nucleotide ribosomal RNA is filed under the name Planomicrobium sp. PAH5. Its description in RNAcentral is "bacterial SSU rRNA". It matches the Rfam family "Bacterial small subunit ribosomal RNA", at positions 40 to 544 of the family's 1533-position model. The record is from RNAcentral. Lineage: Bacteria; Bacillati; Bacillota; Bacilli; Caryophanales; Caryophanaceae.